CUACUGUGGAGGCGUGGAAAAAUACAUCUCGCAUGGAGGAGACGAGAAGGCAGCGGCGGCGACGCAAGCGCGAGUGCGAGUGUCAACCGCGUGACGGCGCGACGGCAACACUGCGCUCUCCCCGGCGGCGGCGCUCUCCCCUCCGCUGGCCACCUUCCCACCGGUGAGUAUCUCUUCAUUCCCCUCUCUUCUCCCUGUACUACCUAGGGUUUGGAACUUUGGAUCUUGGUUCUUGAAGCCUAGGGUUCUUGGUUCUCACCGGACCGUCUCCUACCUAGGAUUCUGUCGCCGCCUCCGUCGCCGUCCUCGCCGUCUUGGAGGUCGCCGUCAUAUCCGCCGUCCCCUCGAACUCCGCGGCUGAUGCCUGUUCUUUUUUGUUUUUUCGCAAAAUUCCUUUUCAUCUUUCGCUGCUUAAUUCUGCUUGUUAUGCGUAUGAAUCAGGAAUCCACAGAUUCUCUUUAAUGUCAACUAGUAUAGUUGGUUCCAAUCUUCAAGAAUCACCAUUUCUACUUGUAUGUUUCUCAGCAUGCUGAUGUUGUUAUUAGGGAGGUGAUUCUGUGACGGCUCAGUAGAACUCUAUUGUGCAUAUGUUCUUCUAUUUUGAUGAAUCACCAAUGAUUAUUUUGUGUGCCAUAAAACUCUAUUGACAAAUCACCAAUAAUACUUCCAAUGCUUUUUUCUUUGGUAAAAACCACAAAUGAAGGUCCCUUGGACUAAUUACCAUAUUACUUCAAUUUAUAAUAUAAAUGGAAUAUGCAUUAUUUGUUUUAUUAUAGUACUUUCCUUGGUUAUUUUUCUAUAGUUCAUCUUCAGGAAUGCUAGAUCUAUUGUUGCUGCGUAUGGGGUGAAAUAAAGGAAAUGCAAUGCAUUGCUGACUUUGUGGGGAAUGGGAGGAAGUCCUGAUGUUUUUUUUAUUAAGAUAAUAUAUGCAAAAUGUGUGCACUGAUAUUAUGUUAGACCCUUGCAUUUGAUUUCUCUAGACUCCUACAGAACUUAUAUUAUUGCUAGUGUCAGAAUUUGAAAAGCCACGCAAUAUAAAAAAUGCACAUAAAAAUUUCUUUGUACAUGUACAGGUAAUCUAGGAGCCAACCAUAUGCUCAUAUAGACCGUGUUUAGUUCCACUCAAACUUCCUCUCAACUCCCAACUUUCCAUAACAUCACAUCACAUCCAAAACUUUCCUACACACAUAAACUCCUAACUUUUUUUCCAAACUACCAACUUUCCCCAAACUUCUCCCCAAUUUCAGGAACUAAACACAGCCCUAAUUGACCUGCUAGUAAUUUGCUUUAAAAUUGGUACAACUAUAUGAACUGGAAACUUUAGUAGUACUAUAUACUGCUCUAACUAUUACUGGUUUUUAGACCUAUAUAUGUGCACGCUCCAUAUCCAUAUGUACUCUCAUUGUUUCUUGAUAUACUAGUUAGGAGGACGAUUACAGGCACAUAUGAUUCUUUCCCCCAAUUCAGAAGUACUUGAUAUUGUCCUAUUCAUAUGCAUGCUCUUGUAUUAGAACUUUAGGAGCAGGAAAAGAAAAGGCAAGUCACUGUUUUAUUUUUGUUAGCCAUCCAACUUACAGUCAGCAAAUAUUUCCUAUGUCAUUUUUUUGUCUUAAUGUUAUUCUAUUUCCUACAUGUGAACUUUUCAAUAGUAUAGUAUUGAUUUGAUAUAUGCAUCAAUGUUCUUGGCCAUCAGCAAUUAAGCAAGUAUAUUUUUUUCUGAUUUUUUAUCAUCAAUCACAC
RNAcentral lists this small RNA (1740 nucleotides) under Oryza sativa Japonica Group (Japanese rice). RNAcentral describes it as "misc RNA Os02g0145500". Lineage: Eukaryota; Viridiplantae; Streptophyta; Magnoliopsida; Poales; Poaceae. The record is from RNAcentral.